AUGCAAGUCGAACGAAGCAUUUAGGAUUGAAGUUUUCGGAUGGAUUUCCUAUAUGACUGAGUGGCGGACGGGUGAGUAACGCGUGGGGAACCUGCCCUAUACAGGGGGAUAACAGCUGGAAACAGCUGCUAAUACCGCAUAAGCGCACAGAAUCGCAUGAUUCAGUGUGAAAAGCCCUGGCAGUAUAGGAUGGUCCCGCGUCUGAUUAGCUGGUUGGUGAGGUAACGGCUCACCAAGGCGACGAUCAGUAGCCGGCUUGAGAGAGUGAACGGCCACAUUGGGACUGAGACACGGCCCAAACUCCUACGGGAGGCAGCAGUGGGGAAUAUUGCACAAUGGGGGAAACCCUGAUGCAGCGACGCCGCGUGAGUGAAGAAGUAUUUCGGUAUGUAAAGCUCUAUCAGCAGGGAAGAAAACAGACGGUACCUGACUAAGAAGCCCCGGCUAACUACGUGCCAGCAGCCGCGGUAAUACGUAGGGGGCAAGCGUUAUCCGGAAUUACUGGGUGUAAAGGGUGCGUAGGUGGCAUGGUAAGUCAGAAGUGAAAGCCCGGGGCUUAACCCCGGGACUGCUUUUGAAACUGUCAUGCUGGAGUGCAGGAGAGGUAAGCGGAAUUCCUAGUGUAGCGGUGAAAUGCGUAGAUAUUAGGAGGAACACCAGUGGCGAAGGCGGCUUACUGGACUGUCACUGACACUGAUGCACGAA
This 705-nucleotide ribosomal RNA is filed under the name uncultured Lachnospiraceae bacterium. Its description in RNAcentral is "bacterial SSU rRNA". It matches the Rfam family "Bacterial small subunit ribosomal RNA", at positions 55 to 757 of the family's 1533-position model. Lineage: Bacteria; Bacillati; Bacillota; Clostridia; Lachnospirales; Lachnospiraceae. The record is from RNAcentral.